RNAcentral lists this ribosomal RNA (513 nucleotides) under Hypolimnas misippus. RNAcentral's name for it is "partial 16S ribosomal RNA". The record is from RNAcentral. Lineage: Eukaryota; Metazoa; Arthropoda; Insecta; Lepidoptera; Nymphalidae.
UUUUUGAUAAUAAUUUAAAGUCUAAUCUGCCCACUGAUAUGUAUAUAUUAAAGGGCUGCAGUAUAUUGACUGUACAAAGGUAGCAUAAUCAUUAGUCUUUUAAUUGAAGACUUGUAUGAAAGAUUUGAUGAAAUAUAAACUGUCUCUGAUUUAUUUUUAGAAAUUAAUUUUUUAGUUAAAAAGCUAAAAUAAAAUUAAAAGACGAGAAGACCCUAUAGAGUUUUAUAUUUAGUUUAUUUAAUAUUAAAUAUAUAAUUAAAUUAUAUUAAAAAAAUAAAAUAUUGUGUUGGGGUGAUAGAAAAAUUUAAUAAACUUUUUUUUGUAAUUAUACAUAAAUAAGUGAUUAAUUGAUCCAUUUUUAGUGAUUAUAAGAAAAAAUUACCUUAGGGAUAACAGCGUAAUAUUUUUUUUUAGUACAUAUAAAAAAAAAAGUUUGCGACCUCGAUGUUGGAUUAAGAUAAAAUUUAAAUGCAAAAGUUUAAAAUUUUGAUCUGUUCGAUCAUUAAAAUCUUA